GACGAACGCUGGCGGCGUGCUUAACACAUGCAAGUCGAACGGAAAGGCCCUGCUUGCCGGGUACUCGAGUGGCGAACGGGUGAGUAACACGUGGGUGAUCUGCCCUGCACUUCGGGAUAAGCCUGGUAAACUGGGUCUAAUACCGGAUAGGAGCCAUUUUUAGUGUGAUGGUUGGAAAGUUUUUUCGGUGUAGGAUGAGCUGGCGGCCUAUCAGCUUGUUGGUGGGGUAAUGGCCUCCCAAGGCGGCGACGGGUAGCCGACCUGAGAGGGUGGACGGCCACAUUGGGCCUACGGGAGGGCCCAGACGCCAACGGGAGGCAGCAGUGGGAAGUCUGACACAAUGGUGGCAAGCGUGUGGCGGCGACGCCGGGUGGGGAAUAACGCCUUCGGGUGGUAGACUCCUUUCGCUAGGAACGAAGCUUUUUGUGACGGUACCUAAAUAAGAAGCACCGGCUAACUACGUG
Molecule: ribosomal RNA, 464 nt
Filed under: uncultured bacterium
Lineage: Bacteria
Description: partial 16S ribosomal RNA
Rfam family: Bacterial small subunit ribosomal RNA
Source: RNAcentral